This 666-nucleotide ribosomal RNA is filed under the name uncultured bacterium. Its description in RNAcentral is "bacterial SSU rRNA". It matches the Rfam family "Bacterial small subunit ribosomal RNA", at positions 111 to 794 of the family's 1533-position model. The record is from RNAcentral.
UAACGCGUGGGUAACCUGCCUCAUACAGGGGGAUAACAGUUAGAAAUGACUGCUAAAACCGCAUAAGCGCACAUUGUCGAGUGACAGAGUGUGAAAAACUCCGGUGGUAUGAGAUGGACCCGCGUCUGAUUAGCUAGUUGGUGAGGUAACGGCCCACCAAGGCGACGAUCAGUAGCCGGCCUGAGAGGGCGACCGGCCACAUUGGGACUGAGACACGGCCCAAACUCCUACGGGAGGCAGCAGUGGGGAAUAUUGCACAAUGGGGGAAACCCUGAUGCAGCGACGCCGCGUGAGUGAAGAAGUAUUUCGGUAUGUAAAGCUCUAUCAGCAGGGAAGAAGAAAGACGGUACCUGACUAAGAAGCCCCGGCUAACUACGUGCCAGCAGCCGCGGUAAUACGUAGGGGGCAAGCGUUAUCCGGAUUUACUGGGUGUAAAGGGAGCGUAGACGGCUGUGCAAGUCUGAAGUGAAAGCCCAGGGCUCAACCCUGGGACUGCUUUGGAAACUGUGGAGCUAGAGUGCUGGAGAGGUAAGUGGAAUUCCUAGUGUAGCGGUGAAAUGCGUAGAUAUUAGGAGGAACACCAGUGGCGAAGGCGGCUUACUGGACAGUAACUGACGUUGAGGCUCGAAAGCGUGGGGAGCAAACAGGAUUAGAUACCCUGGUAGU